AAAAUAUUGAUUGUCUAAGUUUAGUUUCUCCCCCUGAAUUCAGCAUUGGGUAACCCCUCCUUAGUUUGUUCUUCUUCUGUGGUUUCUUCUUUAUAUGUUGGGCGCUCGCUUUCCCUCUCCCCUUCCUGUUUUACUGUUCGGUGGGAGAGGAGCUAAAACGGGCAGCUAACACGCGAUUUCUGUGUCUUUCCUUUCUGGAAAACUGUCAGAUCCGCAAUAAAUGGAGGUGAUCUCCGAGGGUG
Oryzias melastigma (Indian medaka) is the source of this 242-nucleotide long non-coding RNA. RefSeq lists it as uncharacterized. The transcript has 2 exons. NCBI's taxonomy places the organism in Eukaryota, Metazoa, Chordata, Actinopteri, Beloniformes, Adrianichthyidae. The record is from RefSeq and is a predicted model, not a curated record.